Molecule: ribosomal RNA, 459 nt
Filed under: uncultured bacterium
Lineage: Bacteria
Description: bacterial SSU rRNA
Rfam family: Bacterial small subunit ribosomal RNA
Source: RNAcentral
UACGGAAGGCAGCAGUGGGGAAUAUUGCACAAUGGGCGAAAGCCUGAUGCAGCUAUGCCGCGUGUAUGAAGAAGGCCUUAGGGUUGUAAAGUACUUUCAUCGGGGAGGAAAAAACAAAACUAAUAAUUUUAUUUCUUGACGUUACCCGAAAAAGAAGCACCGGCUAACUCCGUGCCAGCAGCCGCGGUAAUACGGAGGGUGCUAGCGUUAAUCAGAAUUACUGGGCGUAAAGAGCACGUAGGUGGUUUUUUUAAGUCAGAUGUGAAAUCCCUGGGCUUAACCUGGAACUGCAUUUUGAAACUGAAAUACUAGAGUAUCGUAGGGGGAGGUAGAAUUCUAGGUGUAGCGGUGAAAUGCGUAGAUAUCUGGAGGAAUACCUGUGGCGAAAGCGGCCUCCUAAACGAAUACUGACACUGAGGGUGCGAAAGCGUGGGGAGCAAACAGGGAUUAGAUACCCGU